Molecule: ribosomal RNA, 253 nt
Filed under: uncultured bacterium
Lineage: Bacteria
Description: partial 16S ribosomal RNA
Rfam family: Bacterial small subunit ribosomal RNA
Source: RNAcentral
UACGUAGGGUCCGAGCGUUGUCCGGAAUUAUUGGGCGUAAAGGGCUCGUAGGCGGUUCGUCACGUCGGGAGUGAAAACUCGGAGCUUAACUCCGAGCCUGCUUCCGAUACGGGCAGACUAGAGGUAUGCAGGGGAGAAUGGAAUUCCUGGUGUAGCGGUGAAAUGCGCAGAUAUCAGGAGGAACACCGGUGGCGAAGGCGGUUCUCUGGGCAUUACCUGACGCUGAGGAGCGAAAGUGUGGGGAGCGAACAGG